AAAAAGUAACGGAGGCGCCCAAAGGUUCCCUCAGAAUGGUUGGAAAUCAUUCGCAGAGUGUAAAGGCACAAGGGAGCUUGACUGCGAGACCUACAAGUCGAGCAGGGACGAAAGUCGGGCUUAGUGAUCCGGUGGUUCCGCAUGGAAGGGCCAUCGCUCAACGGAUAAAAGCUACCCCGGGGAUAACAGGCUUAUCUCCCCCAAGAGUCCACAUCGACGGGGAGGUUUGGCACCUCGAUGUCGGCUCAUCGCAUCCUGGGGCUGUAGUCGGUCCCAAGGGUUGGGCUGUUCGCCCAUUAAAGCGGUACGCGAGCUGGGUUCAGAACGUCGUGAGACAGUUCGGUCCCUAUCCGUCGUGGGCGCAGGAAAUUUGAGAGGAGCUGUCCUUAGUACGAGAGGACCGGGAUGGACGCACCGCUGGUGUACCAGUUGUCUUGCCAAAGGCAUCGCUGGGUAGCUAUGUGCGGAAGGGAUAAGUGCUGAAAGCAUCUAAGCAUGAAGCCCCCCUCGAGAUGAGAUUUCCCAUAGCGUCAAGCUAGUAAGAUCCCUGAAAGAUGAUCAGGUUGAUAGGUCUGAGGUGGAAGCGUGGCGACACGUGGAGCUGACAGAUACUAAUAGAUCGAGGACUUAACCACAUUUG
This 640-nucleotide ribosomal RNA is filed under the name Bacillus infantis. Its description in RNAcentral is "partial 23S ribosomal RNA". It matches the Rfam family "Bacterial large subunit ribosomal RNA", at positions 2292 to 2925 of the family's 2925-position model. Lineage: Bacteria; Bacillati; Bacillota; Bacilli; Caryophanales; Bacillaceae. The record is from RNAcentral.